This 120-nucleotide non-coding RNA is filed under the name Aneurinibacillus aneurinilyticus. RNAcentral describes it as "epsC RNA". It matches the Rfam family "epsC RNA". Lineage: Bacteria; Bacillati; Bacillota; Bacilli; Caryophanales; Paenibacillaceae. The record is from RNAcentral.
UGCCUGCUGCACCUCUAUCACUGCAGGCACUCGGCCAUGCUGUGGGCAUGAAGCGCAAAACAAGGCAAUGCCUUAGACGUUCAUCGUCAAGGGUAUGGUGUGAGGUCGGGUUAAAUGCCC